AAAGAAGUUACAAGGAACAUAAAGUGCCAAAGAAUACACGUGUAGUUACUGUUUGAAAAAAGUAAGGGGAAGACAAAAGAUAGCAAAAGUGAUAUAUAAAAAUCAAGAUUUUACUUAGAAGAAUUAUUCUUUGACCACCUAUAAAGUGCAUUUUGGAUUUACUGUACACAUACAUGUGAGAUCUAUCCAAACUCACAAGUCACCAAUAUACUGAAAAUGCAGCUCCUGAAAACCUGAAGAACAAUGUUUCAAUUGCAAAUAUUGAACAAACAUCACUGGUCCAAAUCCGAGACAGACGCUGUUUCAAUUCCAGUACAACAACCCCAACGGAAGUUAUAAUCUGUAAAGAACUCACUGCUGGAAUAGCGUGCCAAGGCUCUAACAUACCAGAAAAGCAGCAUGUUCCAAUUUUAUUUUCUAGGACCCAUCUGUCUAAUUACCUGUUCCAAACUAGUGUAGUCAUCAUCUAUCCUUGAAUAUUUCCUCUCAAGCCGUCUCCUCGACUCCUGGGGUGGAGGUGCAGGUGCAUAAUUGUAACUUGGUUGAGGUGCAUAAUUGUAACCUGGUUGAGGGUACUGCGAGUGUGGACUGCCAUAAUUACCCCAUGAAUUUGAACUGGAACUGUAAGAUGAGUAUCGACCAGAAGUCGAGCUCUUCGAACUCUUGCCACC
RNAcentral lists this long non-coding RNA (671 nucleotides) under Coffea arabica (coffee). Its description in RNAcentral is "long non-coding RNA (CARA_LNC002804)". The record is from RNAcentral. Lineage: Eukaryota; Viridiplantae; Streptophyta; Magnoliopsida; Gentianales; Rubiaceae.